This 484-nucleotide ribosomal RNA is filed under the name uncultured bacterium. RNAcentral's name for it is "partial 16S ribosomal RNA". It matches the Rfam family "Bacterial small subunit ribosomal RNA", at positions 30 to 507 of the family's 1533-position model. The record is from RNAcentral.
AUUGAACGCUGGCGGCAGGCCUAACACAUGCAAGUCGGGCGGAUGAAGGGAGCUUGCUCCUGGAUUCAGCGGCGGACGGGUGAGUAAUGCCUAGGAAUCUGCCUGGUAGUGGGGGAUAACGUCCGGAAACGGGCGCUAAUACCGCAUACGUCCUGAGGGAGAAAGUGGGGGAUCUUCGGACCUCACGCUAUCAGAUGAGCCUAGGUCGGAUUAGCUAGUUGGUGGGGUAAAGGCCUACCAAGGCGACGAUCCGUAACUGGUCUGAGAGGAUGAUCAGUCACACUGGAACUGAGACACGGUCCAGACUCCUACGGGAGGCAGCAGUGGGGAAUAUUGGACAAUGGGCGAAAGCCUGAUCCAGCCAUGCCGCGUGUGUGAAGAAGGUCUUCGGAUUGUAAAGCACUUUAAGUUGGGAGGAAGGGCAGUAAGUUAAUACCUUGCUGUUUUGACGUUACCAACAGGAUAAGCACCGGCUAACUUCGUG